Molecule: ribosomal RNA, 440 nt
Filed under: uncultured bacterium
Lineage: Bacteria
Description: bacterial SSU rRNA
Rfam family: Bacterial small subunit ribosomal RNA
Source: RNAcentral
CGGAGGCAGCAGUGGGGAAUCUUGCGCAAUGGGGGAAACCCUGACGCAGCGACGCCGCGUGAAGGAUGAAGGCCUUCGGGUUGUAAACUUCUUUUAAGAAGGAAGAAGAAAGUGACGGUACUUCUUGAAUAAGCCCCGGCUAACUACGUGCCAGCAGCCGCGGUAAUACGUAGGGGGCGAGCGUUGUCCGAAGUUACUGGGCGUAAAGCGCGCGUAGGCGGGCUUGUAAGUUAGAUGUGAAAUCUCCACGGCUCAACCGGGAAACCGCAUCUAAAACUGCAAGUCUUGAGGUAUGGAGAGGGAAGUGGAAUUCCUGGUGUAGCGGUGAAAUGCGUAGAUAUCAGGAGGAACACCCGUGGCGAAGGCGGCUUCCUGGCCAUAUCCUGACGCUGAGGUGCGAAAGCCAGGGGAGCGAACGGGAUUAGAUACCCCAGUAGUCC